Molecule: long non-coding RNA, 1215 nt
Organism: Paramormyrops kingsleyae
Lineage: Eukaryota; Metazoa; Chordata; Actinopteri; Osteoglossiformes; Mormyridae
Source: RefSeq, a predicted model, not a curated record
AAACGCUUUAAAAAUCACUCCGAGUCCUCUGACUGUGGCGGAGAAUGUCGAAAGGUUUCGGGUAAAACUGCCGGCAUGUAAAAGUCCGGGAAAAUCGCCUUGAAAAGAUUCGGACGUAAAAGGCGCGCCUGCGCGACGACGGUUACACGCGAAAACUUCUAGAGCAAUUUAGGUUACUGACAACAGGGAUCGUGUCAUCAAUGGAGCGCCGAGAUCGCACCCGUGUCCUUCUCUGCUGUCGAAAACACUGUUUAUCUUCAUCUUAAAAGCGAGGAUCGGCACUUGAACUCGGAGCAAUUGAAUGAGGAAUGGAAUACCUUGUAAGAGUUUCGACCAACAAUGUAGAAGAGAAUAAGAGUCAGGGGGUAAAGAGGAGGAGAACAUGGAGAGUUACAAGAAUGAAACCUGGAGAGGCAGGAAAUGGGGAGAAUACAGACUGGAAGGGAGCAGAGAUAGAGGCAGGAAGGGAAUGUAGGGUAAGAUUGGAAAGGAACAGAGAGACAGGAAGAGAACAGAGACAGGAAUGGGACAGAAAGACAGGAAGGGAACAGAGAUGGGAAGUGGAGAUAGUAAUAGGAAUGAAAAAGAAGCAGACAGCAAGGGAGAGAUGAAGGGAGCAGAGAGACAGGAAGGGAACAGAGAGACAAAUAGGAAAGAGACAGAGAGGGGAAGGGAUUAAAGGGAAAGAUGGGAAGAGGGGAAAGAGAAAGACAAGAAGGGAACAGAGAUAGGAAGGAAACAGAGAGACACACACAAAGGCAACAGAGAAAGUGACAGGUAGAGAGCGGAGGGAAAGGAUUGAAGACAGCAGAGGGAAAGACUGGAUGGGAACAGAGAUAGGAAUCAGACAGAGAGAGAAACAGGAAGGGAACAGAGAGACAGAUAGGAGAAGUGAAGCACGUGAAGCAAGAAUGGAUUAGAGAGAUAAGCAGGAAGAGGGAAAAACAGAAGUGAAGAAAGAUGGAAAGGAAACAUGAAGACAGAGAAAGGAAGGGAAGAGGGAGCGGCCACUGUGGCACUCCCUGCCAUGAAGUCUCCGGGAUGCUCAGCUCAUUAAAACGCACCCAUUAUCCCCACAUUUGCACGCAUCACAUGCAAAACUAAUUUUCUUGUAAGAAAUUAAAAGUUCAUUUUAAUUGAGCUCGCACUGCAGUAUGCAAAUGAGGAGUACAUAAUGUACACUGAGGCAGAAACAGCACGCCAAAAGCGGCCUUA